CGCACAAGGAUGGAUAAGGCGAGCGCUCUGAGCUGCGGAGCAGUGGAAGGAGCGCCGGGGAGGGGACACUCCACGGCGGCGGUGCUUGGGGCUCCGACGAGCGCAGACGAGCGGCGACGCCCUGAAGGCCAUCAGCCAUGGCCAUUGUGGUUUCGCGUGCGCCCGCGAGCGGCUGCACGCUGGGGGGAGGCGGAGCUCGAUGCAGCGCGCGAACCUAGCCUUGGUGCGACGGCGGCGCGGCUGCUGUCCUCCCGUCCAACCCGCAGCACGUCGAGCCUCACCGGAGUUCCUCCAUGACGCCGGAAGCAGCUGCCACUGCCCUCCAUGGAGCCCCGACGCCUCCGCCAUGAACCCAUCCAUCCCGACCUCCUGUGCGCGCUUCCCUGCAACUCCAGACGCCGCCCGCAGCUCUCUGCAUCGAGCAGCAGCAGUUCGGGCAGAGGACGACGCCUCUGCCUCGACCGCUCGCCCCCUCUGCUUCGCGCUGGACUGCCAAGUCCCUCCCGUCCUCAUCCCCAUGCAGCUGCGCGCUCUCGCCUGCCCCCACGGCGAGCUCCGCCUCCUGCGUGCGGUCGCCGCCUCCCUCAACCUCCACCACCUGCUGCAAGUUGGUGCCCGGCGGCGGCAGAGUUGCUGCUCCCGUGUCGUGAUUGGACUCCGUGUUCUUCUCCAACAGCAAAUACGUGUUCUUCUCCAACACCAAUCAAUGGAUUUCCCGAGCCGGAUUUGAGUUGCCUACUAUAAGAAGGAAGGGUCCUCGGACCAGAAGCUCCAUCAAAUCAAAUCAAAUCAAAUCCCGUCGAAAUUGCAAUUUUCGUCGAAACGUCCAUGUCGCCGCCGAGUUCGCCGGAGGAACCAGAACGUCCGUCCAACCGUCCAAUGUCGCUGCCGGCGGCUACAACAGAGGCUAGAAAAGCCUUUAUUUUGCAGAUAUCAUUGCUAGCUUCCGUCAUAGCUGGGAUCAAUGAAAGAAUCUGCACUUACAACCUGUUAACCAAAAUAGCAAUGUGUUGUGAUUUUGAGUACUAAGUGGCUUCGCACUGAUGCAAGACGAACAACAGCCGGCUUAGAUGAGUCACUUGAGUGGUGUCUUGAAAACAACAUGAGCAAGACUGGACUUGAUGGGCAUUCGAGACUGUCCCUUUUUGAUGGAAAUGUUCUUCAGCUGAAUGAAUCUCAUCUUGUGAAGCAAAAGAUCAGUGAUCUCGUGCAGUGGCGGAGCUUGGUGGGGGCCAACCUGAGCCAUGCCCCCCCCCCCCCCCCC
Long non-coding RNA from Triticum aestivum (bread wheat), 1264 nucleotides. RefSeq lists it as uncharacterized. The transcript is spliced from 4 exons. The record is from RefSeq and is a predicted model, not a curated record. NCBI's taxonomy places the organism in Eukaryota, Viridiplantae, Streptophyta, Magnoliopsida, Poales, Poaceae.